Molecule: ribosomal RNA, 467 nt
Filed under: uncultured bacterium
Lineage: Bacteria
Description: partial 16S ribosomal RNA
Rfam family: Bacterial small subunit ribosomal RNA
Source: RNAcentral
GACGAACGCUGGCGGCGUGCUUAACACAUGCAAGUCGAACGGAAAGGCCCUGCUUUUGUGGGGUGCUCGAGUGGCGAACGGGUGAGUAACACGUGAGUAACCUGCCCUUGACUUUGGGAUAACUUCAGGAAACUGGGGCUAAUACCGGAUAGGAGCUCCUGCUGCAUGGUGGGGGAUGGAAAGUUUCGGCGGUUGGGGUUGGACUCGCGGCUUAUCCGCUUGUUGGGGGGGUUGUGGCUACCAAGGCUUUGACGGGUAGCCGGCCUGAGAGGGUGACCGGCCACAUUGGGACUGAGAUACGGCCCAGACUCCUACGGGAGGCAGAAGUGGGGAAUAUUGCACAAUGGGCGGAAGCCUGAGGCAGCAACGCCGCGUGCGGGAUGACGGCCUUCGGGUUGUAAACCGCUUUCGCCUGUGACGAAGCGUGAGUGACGGUAAUGGGUAAAGAAGCACCGGCUAACUACGUG